CCUACGGGUGGCAGCAGUGAGGAAUAUUGGUCAAUGGCCGGAAGGCUGAACCAGCCAUGCCGCGUGAAGGUCAGUGCCCUAUGGGCGUUAAACUUCUUUUGUGCGGGAGCAAUAAUGGUCACGUGUGGCCAGACGAGAGUACCGUACGAAUAAGCAUCGGCUAACUCCGUGCCAGCAGCCGCGGUAAUACGGGGGAUGCAAGCGUUAUCCGGAUUUAUUGGGUUUAAAGGGUGUGUAGGCGGUGUAGCAAGUUAGAAGUGAAAUACCUAGAGCUUAACUCAGGUGCUGCUUCUAAAACUGCUAUACUUGAGUGCAGUAGAGGAAAGUGGAAUUCCUAGUGUAGCGGUGGAAUGCGUAGAUAUUAGGAGGAACAUCAGUGGCGAAGGCGACUUUCUGGACUGUAACUGACGCUGAGGCACGAAAGUGUGGGGAGCAAACAGGAUUAGAUACCCUGGUAGUC
Molecule: ribosomal RNA, 460 nt
Filed under: uncultured bacterium
Lineage: Bacteria
Description: partial 16S ribosomal RNA
Rfam family: Bacterial small subunit ribosomal RNA
Source: RNAcentral